This 690-nucleotide long non-coding RNA is filed under the name Amphimedon queenslandica. RNAcentral describes it as "uncharacterized LOC109591330, transcript variant X1". The record is from RNAcentral. Lineage: Eukaryota; Metazoa; Porifera; Demospongiae; Haplosclerida; Niphatidae.
ACCUGAACAAAGAAAUGGAGACAAACACUGUUGCUAUGAUUGCCCUCAUCAGCUGCUGAUAUUACUACUCUAUACUGAUCUAUGCUACUGGUGUCAUUAUAAUCCAAUGUUGCUCCACCCACCACUCAUAGACUCACAUGCAGGCUCCUUAUGUUAUAUUGCGUGUAUUGAUGGAUUCUGAUACUCCUGUAUUUAAUAUUGAGAGUGUUACUGGCUCUGAUGGUAAGCCUGACCUCUUGAUCAGGUUUGAUAGGAAUAAACUGGAGACCAUUGCUAAACCUGUCAUUGGAGAAUUCUUGAAUAAACUGCAGAUCUAUAAGUCUGACAGCAGACGUUAGCUCAGGACAGUUAUUGUAUAAUAAAUAUUCAACUGUUACUGAUGAUCAUUUGAUGUUGAGAGAUAUUGUAAUGGCUAGGAAGAUGCCUAGAAGAUUUGUACAGCCACACACUUCAAUUGAUACUGAUGGUUCUGUUGUUCUUAAUGAAUUUGAUAGUUCAUUUGAAGGAAUCAUUUCCUCAUUUCUAGCAAGAUAUCCUAACUAUGAUACUGAACUGGAGUCUCUUUGGAGAAAUGAUCAGCAUUAUUGGAAACAAAAAUAGACACAAUACAUUUGAUACAAAUUAAAGGAUUAGAAUUUACUUGUGUAUGCAUAUUGAGUGUUAAUUGUCACAUUGUUGCAUGUGCAUGUA